GCAAUUACCACCAUAAAUAUUAUAAUUAUUUCGUCACAAAAGUGAUGAUGAUUCUGAAUCCGUUGCGGAAUAGUCGUUUUGGACUGGGGGGCGGUACCCCACAGCUCCACCAUUAAACAUUAUGGGGCUGACAUAGUUUCGACAGGCGAAGUAAAGGCAAAUCGGGUGAAUCCGACGUGGCGUCGUUAAAAGCCGAAUAAAAACUGAAUGGCGAUAGAAUCGCUGCGAACGACAACGUUCGCCUUGCAAUGGCCGCCUAAUAAUGGAUUGGAUAUAAUUGGCGAUUGUUGAUUAUAUCCGUUUGGCUUAUUGCGGGGCCGACCGGGUGCCCGGCAACAGAAACC
RNAcentral lists this transfer-messenger RNA (344 nucleotides) under Candidatus Enterousia intestinigallinarum. RNAcentral describes it as "Alphaproteobacteria transfer-messenger RNA". It matches the Rfam family "Alphaproteobacteria transfer-messenger RNA". From Rfam's summary of the family: Bacterial tmRNA, also known as 10Sa RNA or SsrA, is named for its dual tRNA and mRNA-like properties. Its role is to liberate the mRNA from a stalled ribosome. The record is from RNAcentral. Lineage: Bacteria; Pseudomonadati; Pseudomonadota; Alphaproteobacteria.